This 463-nucleotide ribosomal RNA is filed under the name uncultured bacterium. Its description in RNAcentral is "partial 16S ribosomal RNA". It matches the Rfam family "Bacterial small subunit ribosomal RNA", at positions 28 to 507 of the family's 1533-position model. The record is from RNAcentral.
GACGAACGCUGGCGGCGUGCUUAACACAUGCAAGUCGAACGGAAAGGCCUUUUCUGUGGGACUCGCGUGGCGGACGGGUGAGUAAGACGUAGGUGAGCUGCCCUGCACUCUGUGUUGAGCAUGUUAAACUGGGUCUAAUACAGGAUAGGUCCGCACUUCUGUGGGUGUGGGGGGAAGGUAUUUCGGUGUGGGAUGGGCCCGCGGCCUCUCAGCUUGAUGGUGGGGGAAUGGCCUACCAAGGCGGCGGCGGGGAGGCGGACUGGGAGGUUGGGCGGCCACCAUGGGACUGAGGGUAGGCCCAGAAUCCCAACGGGGGCAGGAGGGGGGAAUAUUUGACAAUGGGGGCAAGCCCGAUGCAGGGAAGCCGCGUGGGGGAAGACGGCCUUCGGGUUGGAAACCCCCUUCGCCAUGGACCAAGCGUUUUGUGACGGUACCUGGAGAAGAAGCACCGGCUAACUACGUG